Molecule: ribosomal RNA, 198 nt
Filed under: Triticum aestivum (bread wheat)
Lineage: Eukaryota; Viridiplantae; Streptophyta; Magnoliopsida; Poales; Poaceae
Description: partial small subunit ribosomal RNA
Source: RNAcentral
AUGCCUGUUACUGUGGCAUCAACUAAAAGAAGUUUUUCAAAGUUGAAAUUGUUGAAGAACUACGUGAGAUCUACAAUGUUGCGAGAGAGGUUAAAUGGGUUGGCAACUUUAUGCAUUGAGAAAAAAUUGCUUGAUGAAAUUGAUAUUGAUACUAUCAUUACCGAUUUUGCAUCUCAUAAUAUUAGGAGAAACUUUUGA